RNAcentral lists this ribosomal RNA (238 nucleotides) under uncultured Glomus. Its description in RNAcentral is "partial 18S ribosomal RNA". It matches the Rfam family "Eukaryotic small subunit ribosomal RNA", at positions 569 to 811 of the family's 1831-position model. The record is from RNAcentral. Lineage: Eukaryota; Fungi; Glomeromycota; Glomeromycetes; Glomerales; Glomeraceae.
AGCAGCCGCGGUAAUUCCAGCUCCAAUAGCGUAUAUUAAAGUUGUUGCAGUUAAAAAGCUCGUAGUUGAAUUUCGGGAUCAAUAUGUCGGUCGUGCCUUCGGUACGUACUGGCAUCAUUGGUUUCUCCCUUCUGACAAACCAUGAUGUCAUUAAUUUGGUGUUAUGGGGAGUUAGGACUGUUUACUUUAGAAAAAAUUGAGUGUUUAAAGCAGGCAUUAGCUUGAAUACAUUAGCAUA